Long non-coding RNA from Zophobas morio, 1562 nucleotides. RefSeq lists it as uncharacterized. The record is from RefSeq and is a predicted model, not a curated record. Lineage: Eukaryota; Metazoa; Arthropoda; Insecta; Coleoptera; Tenebrionidae. The transcript has 2 exons.
UCGCCAGUACGAACGGUACGACUAAUCAGUUCGCAGGGCAGGAAGAAGACCCGCACGAAGGAUCAGUGCAGCGGCUGUGCCACGGAAAUAAUAGUGAGGAAGCUACUGAAAAACACACCACAAAACUUGAAGUUUUCUUCGCGUUGGGUACCACAAUUCUUCAUAUUUUAAAUGUGGUAAAGUUUUAUGAUACCAUUAUUUACCGAAGCAACGAUAAUUUUUAUAGUUUGACGAGCAUAUUUUAUUUAAUAUCAGCUUUUGUGACAACAUGUUUUAGCUGGAAUAUAAACAAAUUUAAGCCACAACAAAAAGAAUGUAAUUUUUAUAGACGUGGAAUUUUAAUCGCUGCAUUUGCCGUUAUCCAAAUUUGUCAUAUUUACUAUAGAAUUAUUUCUGAGCCACAAAGCUAUGACCAAAUUUUUUUAACCAUUCUUUGGUAUCUGUUAACGACGAUACCACUUUUUAUUAUCUUUCACCUAUUUACUUUGGAAAUAUAUGUACUGAUGUCCUUUUACGGUAUUAAAUCUCUAAUAAGCAAAAAGCGGGAAGAACAACAGUAUUACUAUUACCUGCUGACAAAAACUCGGGCCGACGCUGGACUUCUUGGUCUAUUAGAUGGAGCUUUCAGAAUAAUACCACAUCAGAUUUUACAGAUAUACAUUUUUUUCAAAUUUGGGUUCAGCUGGCAUUUUGACCAGGUUGCAGAACUUUUCUCAUUUUUGGACAUAGCUUGGUCUUCAACCUUUUACCAGUCUUUACUCAGGAUGCACCGCCCGAACAAACACGACAUGAACCUAAAGAUUAAGUACUGGUAUUACACUUGGAAUUUAUUUAUCUGUAUUUCAAGAAUGUUGUGUAUUGGCGCUAUAGCAGCCCUUUGGCCCGUUGCUGUUGUAAUUUUGUCAUUUGUGCAUUGUGCAGGAUGGGCUUUUUGGUUAUGGUGGAACCAUCCGUCACUUGAUUUUACCCGUAUUAGUAAAUAUUGGCACAUACUCUUUUGCUGUGUGAUUGGUGUCGUCUACUUUACGUUUCCAAUUAACUUAGACGAUAAACCAAAGAAAUAUUGUAUAUUUUAUGGUAUAAUGUUGAUGGAGAAUUGUGUAGGAAUACUAAUUUGGUACUUUAAUGAAGAGGCAUCAUGGGGUUACUUUGUAUUAAUUCUAGCAAUAGGUAGUACUGGUCUUGGAAUGAUAUUUCAGAUAUUAUACUACGCUCACUGUCAUCCUAGUAAAGUUUAUGCCAAAAACAUUACGGUACUCGUACAAGAAAAUCUAUUUGGUAGUAGUGAUAAUUAAAAAAAAAACGAUGUUUAUACCAUGGUCCAAAAUACUUCUCGUAAAAGGAAUAACGUAAGUUGAUCCUAUUUUAUUCUAAUAGCUCUGUCGAUCAUGUCCUACGUAUGCUGUCACAGCUUCCCUUUAGGAGAAAACUUUUGGGUCAUAGAGUACUUAUAGAAAUUUGUUCCGUGUAUUAUGUUGUACACUCUUUAGUUAUGUUCUUUGUUCCUUUAUAUAUAUUUAUAGUAUUCUCUUGAGAUUGCAAAUAAAUAUAUUACCUGCAAA